Molecule: long non-coding RNA, 5220 nt
Filed under: Homo sapiens (human)
Lineage: Eukaryota; Metazoa; Chordata; Mammalia; Primates; Hominidae
Description: HSALNT0300959
Source: RNAcentral
AUAAUCCUGCCGGAACACACUCUUCUUGCUGCAUUAGGAUCCAACUGGAAAACAUAAAGAUGAAUUGCUGUAGGCUGGAAAAUCAAUUAGGAAAAAGAGGGAUGUGAUUCAGACACAGGACUAGCUUUGUGAUCCCUGUGCUCCGGAGAAACCUCCACCCUGGCCUCAAGGAGGCUGUGAAACCAAAAGGGACCUUGGGUGCCAGCUUGCUGGGUCCUUACUUACUUGGUCCAUCUUCUGGCUGGAAGGAGCACCUGGGCUCUCAGAGUGCCCCCCGACUCUCAGCAGCUCCUUUUCUGGCCCAAGAGGUAAGAGUCUGGAGGACCCCAGUUCAGUUUCUUCCUGUUUAUUCUUUUAUCGUUGACUAUAAGAUUGUGAACCUAGCACAAUGCUAAGAGCUUGAGAUACAGCAGCUAAACAGACAGCCACUAUCCUUACCCUUUUGGAGUUUUUAGCAUAGUGGUGUGCCUAAACAAGUCAUAAUCAUGAUGAUGAUGAGAGGGUAUUACACAGGGCAUGACUACCAGAAGGUGGGCUCAUUGGAAGCCAUUUUAGAAGCAGCUGACCACAGUCUCUCUGGGGCGGGCACCAUUAUCCUCACUUUACUGAUGAGGAAACUGAGCUACACAGGGGUCGAGCAACUUGCCCACGGUCACAAAACUUACACAGGUUUGAACACAGGUAGUCUGGCUCCAGGAAAACAAUCCUACAUGUAUGGUGGGAUUCCAGUUUGAGAAAGCAAACUGCAGUGUGGAGGAUGGAUUAGAGCAGGGAAGCUGGAGGCAGGAAGAUCAGUGAGGAAGACUUUUCCCUGGUUCCAGUAGAGAUGAGAAGGCCUGAACCCAGGUGCAGAUACGGGAAGGAGAUGGCAGGUUGGAAAGAUAUUUAGGAGAAAGAGGGUGUGGGAACCUGAGUGGGAGGCACCAGGGUGAUGCCCAGUACUCUGAUUUGGGUGACUUUGAGGAUGCUGACGCCAUUAUUUAAGAUAAGAAUAAGCAAAAGAUGAGUAGAUUUGUGGGGAGGGUACCCACGAAUUUGGGUACCCACAAAAGAUGAGUAGAUUUGUGGGGAGGGUACCCACAAAAGAUGAGUAGAUUUGUGGGGAGGGACAUAUUUAUUUAAAUAAUGAUGCCAUUAUUUAAGAUAAGAAUAAGCAAAAGAUGAGUAGAUUUGUGGGGAGGGUACCCACAAAUUUGGGUACCCACAAAAGAUGAGUAGAUUUGUGGGGAGGGUACCCACAAAAGGUGAGUAGAUUUGUGGGGAGGGACAUAUUGAGUUUGGUUUUAUAGAUAGUGCAAGGUAUCUCUGCAAAUAGUCACUGUCCUUCUCAACCUCCUUCCCUCCCCCGACCCCCACAUCACAAUAUGUGUACUUUCUCUACAGAGUUAGACUACAGUGUACUGUUCAGCAGGCAGAAAGGCCACAAUCUAUGGAUGAAAGAAGUCCCCCUGCAGGGAGAGGACCUAGUCAGAACAAUCUUCCUAGGAAGAAGAAAAUCCUGGGAUGGGAACUGUGGUCUUAGAAAGCAGACCUUACACAGUGGCUCACACCUGUAAUCCCAGCACUUCAGGAAGCUGAAGUGGGGGCAUUGCUUGAGGCCAGGAGUCGAAGACUAGCCUGGGCAACAUUGUGAGUUCUCAUCUCUACCAAAAUAAAAAAUAAAAAAAGUAUCUGGGCAUGGCAGCAUGUGCCUGUAGUCUCAGCUACUAGGGAGGCUGAGGCAGGAGGAUUGCUUGAGCCUAGGAGUUGGGAGUCUGUGGUGAGAUAUGAGAGCACCACUGUACUCCAGCCUGGGCAACAGAGUGGAGAAUUAAAAAAGAAUUAAAAAAAGACCAGAAACAGCAGAGAAAGGGGGCCUCCUUCCCCUCUCUGUCUGUUUUAUUGAGGGAGAGUCUCACUCUGUCACUCAGGCUGGAGUACAGUGGUACGAUUUUGGCUCACUGCACCCUCAACCUCAACCUGGGCUUAAGCUAUCCUCCCACCUUAGCCUCCCGAGUAGCUGGGACUACAGGUACAUACCACCAUACCCAGCUAGUUUUUUUUUUUAAAUGUUCUGUAGAGAUGAGGUCUCAUUAUGUUGGCCAGGCUGGUCUCAAACUCCCGGGCUUAAGUGAUCCUCCCACCUCAGUCUCCCAAAGUGCUGGGUUUACAGGCAUGAGCCACUGCUCCCGGCCUCCCUCUCUGAGAACAUGCUCUAGGUGUGUUGAAAGUAUUUCUGGGUGGGGAUAAGAUGGGGAGGGGAGGUGACUUCUUUUCUACGUAGGUGACCAGGGUAGGCAGAGAGAGCCUAUCAGGGCCGUCCAGGCCAGUGUAUACUCUAGGAGAAAACAUAUCCAAUAUCCAGUUGUAAGUUCCACCUGGUGGAUAAUUAAUUUUCUUCUCUAGGAACCUUCAAGAAAGUUCUGCUAAAAGCUGUAGCCUGGCUUUAGUGCUGCUGUGUAUUAUCCCUGCCUAGGCAGGUGGGAAGGGGAAAUGGUUUCCUGAGGGUUUCCAGCAUGGAGAUUUCAGCUGGGAUCAGAGCAGGUAUCCCCAGGAUAAAGGCACUCUGGGAUGAGUCUUGGCCGAGUUGUUCAACCAUCCUCUUUAUAAGGAGAUUCUUUUCCUCAUUGCCAGCCAGAAGCCAGGAUGCCUAUAUGACACUGUCUGGCCCAGUUGGAUGGAUUUCUGGGUCAGCUGAGAAAAGAGGGAGUUUUCAGGGUACAGGUUGUAACUGAAGGCUGGGAGAAGGGAUGGGAUGACCUGGGAAGUCAGUGGAGUUGGAAGGGACUGUGAGCUAGCUUAGAAGCUCCACAACAAGCGUGGGGCCAUGUCCGCUCAUUCACUGCUGUGUCCCUAAUGCCCUAUACAGUGCUUGACAUCUCCUAGGACCUCAAAUAGUAGUUGAAUGAAUGAGUUAAUUAAAUAAAUUACAGAAAUUUAGGAAGCAUCAACUUCUAAGAGACCUGAGGAAGUGACAAAAGUUUGGAACAGCUGCCAUAAGCAAUGAGAGGAAGAUGAGCUGAAGAAUGGCUGUGCUGUGAGUACAGGGAAGUUAAGAAAGUUCUCUUUGGCUGGGUGUGGUGGCUCAUACCUGUAAUCCCAGCACUUUGGGAGGCUGAGGUGGGCAGAUCACUUGAGGUCAAGAGCUGGAGACCAGCCUGGCCAACAUGGUUAAACCCCGUCUGUAUUAAAAAUACAAAAAUUAGCUGGGCGUGGUGGCUUAUGCCUCUAAUCCCAGCUAUUCAGGAGGCUGAGGCACGAGAAUCGCUUGAACCUGGGAGACAGGAGGCAGAGGUUGCAGUGAGCCAACAUUCUGCCACUGCAUUCCAGCCUGGGCAACAGAGCAAAACCAGAAAAAAACAAAGAAAGAGAGAGAGAGAGAGGGAGGGAGGGAGGGAAGGAGGGAAGAAAGGAAGGAAGGAAGGAAGGUAGGAAGGAAGGAAGGAAAAAGAAAAGAAAAGAGAAAGAAAGUUCAUUCUCCUUGAAGGCCAGGCUUUGGGCACUGGCAGCACCCAUGGAGAAAAGGGCUUCUCUGUACCCCCAUCUCCACAGUGUGCUUUGGCCCAGCAAGGUCCUGGGGGAAGUACUCCUGGUAAUCCUGAGAAUCAGAUAGCAGGAGUGCAUUUCCAGGGCUGCAGGCCACCCUCCACAGGACCACCUGGGUGGCUAGUGUGCUCAGUGCUGGUCACCAGGGGCUGACCUUCAAGUGUCAGAGGAAGCUGGGAAGUUUUGGAUCCUGGAUUGAGAAACUGGCCUGUGUUUUUAACUCUAGGAGUCAUGAUCUGAAUGUGAAAUUCCAAGGGCUACAAACACAGACCAUGGGCUUUUAUGACUCUGGGUGACCUCUAUCCUCUGGCUGUCAUUUGGGGAUAUUUUUCUUCUCCUUUUAAUCCUGAAAAGGAAAGAAAAAAUGUUACAAGAAGCAAGUUACUCAUCACUUUGUUAAGGAUUGAUUCCAUUUAAUUCCAGAGCUUGUUUGACCCUUGGAUAAACAAUUGAAACCUUCUGGAGGUACCUAAAAGGAAUGCAAGAAUGCAUUUGCCAUUUAAUGGUAGAAAAAUUUUAAAUGGGAUUCUGAUAGUAUAAAAAAUAGUAUUUGUAUAAGUGCUUAAAAAAUCACUUGUAAAAUAUACGCUCUUCAAUAAUGGCCAAAUAUGGGAAACUCUGAUGUUUGGUCACAUAACCAGGCUGAUUUUGCAAAUGGGAAGAUCCAUCUAUCCCCAUUUACUUAGGUUGAGCAAUCUUCUGGCUACAAAUUUCCUCCAAAGAUGUCUAGAAUCAUUGGCCAAAUGGAGAUCCAGACUAAAUGCAUAAGAUAGCACCAACAUAAGUUAGCCAGCUUGGGUUCUCUGAGGUGGGUUUAGCCAUGCCAAAGGAGAAUUGUUCAAAGUUUUAACUUUAUGGGUAAUGGUAGAAGUUACGGAUUAUAUAGUUUGUCACCUGCCAAAUCUGCAAGAACAAAUAAAGAUGAAAUGCAAUGAAUGUAUAAACAACUCAAAGGGAAAAAGUGCUAACCAGGUUUAGAAAGCCAAGAGUUUCCUAGCAGGCUGAUAUGACCUAAUCUCUUUCCAUGACAUACUGACCAACUGGUGAGUAAUUUCACCAGUAAACUAAGAAGUCAGAAUGUCAAGCACGACCAUGAAGGGGGUAACUGGAGGCAGAAGCAGCUGAGCCCCAGAUUCACCCUGGGCCUCUGCAACCUUCUCAUCCCCAGCUAGGUAAUAGAAGAGAUCAAAGUUCAUGAAAUUUGCUGGGGACCUCAAAAAAGAGGGUUAGGAGUGGAGUAAGAGGGGAAUGUCUUCCUUUCUGUCAUAACACAUAUCCCAUUGUAAUUUUAGUUUAUUUCUUUUUUUUAGAGACUUGCUCUGUUGCCCAGACUGGAGUGUAGUGGCGUGGUCAUAGCUUACUACAGCCUUGAACUCCUGGGCUCAAGGGAUCCUCCUGCCUCAGCCUCCUGAGCAGCUAGGACUAUAGGUGGGUGCCACCACGCCUGGCUAAUUUUUACAUUUUCUGUGGAGAUGGGGGUCUUGAUAUAUUACCCAGGCUGGAACCCAUCAUAUCAUUUCAUCUCCUGCUGCUGCAGGACAGGCAGUGUGGUUUAGCUGGAAAAUCAAGGACCACAGACAGAAGCCCAGUCUCUGUCUGUCACUAUCUGCACAUUCUUGGGCCAAUUCCUCCUGCCCUCUACUGCCUCAGGUUCUUUAUUUGUAAAAUGAUUUUGAAGAUUAAACAAGAUCAAAC